Molecule: transfer RNA, 74 nt
Filed under: Sphaerodactylus townsendi
Lineage: Eukaryota; Metazoa; Chordata; Lepidosauria; Squamata; Sphaerodactylidae
Description: tRNA-Ala
Rfam family: tRNA
About the family: Transfer RNA (tRNA) molecules are approximately 80 nucleotides in length. Their secondary structure includes four short double-helical elements and three loops (D, anti-codon, and T loops). Further hydrogen bonds mediate the characteristic L-shaped molecular structure. tRNAs have two regions of fundamental functional importance: the anti-codon, which is responsible for specific mRNA codon recognition, and the 3' end, to which the tRNAs corresponding amino acid is attached (by aminoacyl-tRNA synthetases). tRNAs cope with the degeneracy of the genetic code in two manners: having more than one tRNA (with a specific anti-codon) for a particular amino acid; and 'wobble' base-pairing, i.e. permitting non-standard base-pairing at the 3rd anti-codon position.
Source: RNAcentral
GGGCCUGUGGGUUAAUAGUUGAGCAUCUGCUUUGCAUGCAGAAGGUCCCAGGGGUUCAAACCCUGGCAUCUCCA